This 498-nucleotide ribosomal RNA is filed under the name uncultured bacterium. Its description in RNAcentral is "bacterial SSU rRNA". It matches the Rfam family "Bacterial small subunit ribosomal RNA", at positions 66 to 543 of the family's 1533-position model. The record is from RNAcentral.
ACGCGAAAGCCCCCUUCGGGGGGCAAGUAGAGUGGCGCACGGGUGAGUAACACGUAGAUAAUCUACCUUUGGAUGGGGAAUAACCACCGGAAACGGUGGCUAAUACCGCAUAAUGCAGCGGCACCUAAUGGUGACAGUUGUUAAAGCGGGGGAUCGUAAGACCUCGCGUCUGAAGAGGAGCCUGCGGCAGAUUAGCUAGUUGGUAGGGUAACGGCUUACCAAGGCGAUGAUCUGUAGCCGGCCUGAGAGGGCGGUCGGCCACACUGACACUGACAUACGGGUCAGACUCCUACGGGAGGCAGCAGUCGGGAAUUUUGGGCAAUGGGCGAAAGCCUGACCCAGCAACGCCGCGUGAAGGAUGAAAUCCCUCGGGAUGUAAACUUCGCAAGAACGGGAAGAAUAAGUAAGAGCUAACAUCUCUUAUGAUGACGGUACUGUUUGUAAGCUCCGGCUAACUCCGUGCCAGCAGCCGCGGUAAUACGGGGGGAGCAAGCGUUG